GGCGAGGUAGCUCAGCUGGUUAGAGCGUCGGAUUCAUAACCCGGAGGUCGGCGGAUCGUGCCCGCCUCUCGCUA
Molecule: transfer RNA, 74 nt
Filed under: Vicingaceae bacterium
Lineage: Bacteria; Pseudomonadati; Bacteroidota; Flavobacteriia; Flavobacteriales; Vicingaceae
Description: tRNA-Met
Rfam family: tRNA
About the family: Transfer RNA (tRNA) molecules are approximately 80 nucleotides in length. Their secondary structure includes four short double-helical elements and three loops (D, anti-codon, and T loops). Further hydrogen bonds mediate the characteristic L-shaped molecular structure. tRNAs have two regions of fundamental functional importance: the anti-codon, which is responsible for specific mRNA codon recognition, and the 3' end, to which the tRNAs corresponding amino acid is attached (by aminoacyl-tRNA synthetases). tRNAs cope with the degeneracy of the genetic code in two manners: having more than one tRNA (with a specific anti-codon) for a particular amino acid; and 'wobble' base-pairing, i.e. permitting non-standard base-pairing at the 3rd anti-codon position.
Source: RNAcentral